AGAGUUUGAUCCUGGCUCAGAUUGAACGCUGGCGGCAGGCCUAACACAUGCAAGUCGAGCGGAUGAAGGGAGCUUGCUCCUGGAUUCAGCGGCGGACGGGUGAGUAAUGCCUAGGAAUCUGCCUGGUAGUGGGGGACAACGUUUCGAAAGGAACGCUAAUACCGCAUACGUCCUACGGGAGAAAGCAGGGGACCUUCGGGCCUUGCGCUAUCAGAUGAGCCUAGGUCGGAUUAGCUAGUUGGUGAGGUAAUGGCUCACCAAGGCGACGAUCCGUAACUGGUCUGAGAGGAUGAUCAGUCACACUGGAACUGAGACACGGUCCAGACUCCUACGGGAGGCAGCAGUGGGGAAUAUUGGACAAUGGGCGAAAGCCUGAUCCAGCCAUGCCGCGUGUGUGAAGAAGGUCUUCGGAUUGUAAAGCACUUUAAGUUGGGAGGAAGGGUUGUAGAUUAAUACUCUGCAAUUUUGACGUUACCGACAGAAUAAGCACCGGCUAACUCUGUGCCAGCAGCCGCGGUAAUACAGAGGGUGCAAGCGUUAAUCGGAAUUACUGGGCGUAAAGCGCGCGUAGGUGGUUCGUUAAGUUGGAUGUGAAAUCCCCGGGCUCAACCUGGGAACUGCAUCCAAAACUGGCGAGCUAGAGUAUGGUAGAGGGUGGUGGAAUUUCCUGUGUAGCGGUGAAAUGCGUAGAUAUAGGAAGGAACACCAGUGGCGAAGGCGACCACCUGGACUGAUACUGACACUGAGGUGCGAAAGCGUGGGAGCAAACAGGAUUAGAUACCCUGGUAGUCCACGCCGUAAACGAUGUCAACUAGCCGUUGGGAGCCUUGAGCUCUUAGUGGCGCAGCUAACGCAUUAAGUUGACCGCCUGGGGAGUACGGCCGCAAGGUUAAAACUCAAAUGAAUUGACGGGGGCCCGCACAAGCGGUGGAGCAUGUGGUUUAAUUCGAAGCAACGCGAAGAACCUUACCAGGCCUUGACAUCCAAUGAACUUUCCAGAGAUGGAUUGGUGCCCUCGGGAGCAUUGAGACAGGUGCUGCAUGGCUGUCGUCAGCUCGUGUCGUGAGAUGUUGGGUUAAGUCCCGUAACGAGCGCAACCCUUGUCCUUAGUUACCAGCACGUUAUGGUGGGCACUCUAAGGAGACUGCCGGUGACAAACCGGAGGAAGGUGGGGAUGACGUCAAGUCAUCAUGGCCCUUACGGCCUGGGCUACACACGUGCUACAAUGGUCGGUACAAAGGGUUGCCAAGCCGCGAGGUGGAGCUAAUCCCAUAAAACCGAUCGUAGUCCGGAUCGCAGUCUGCAACUCGACUGCGUGAAGUCGGAAUCGCUAGUAAUCGCGAAUCAGAAUGUCGCGGUGAAUACGUUCCCGGGCCUUGUACACACCGCCCGUCACACCAUGGGAGUGGGUUGCACCAGAAGUAGCUAGUCUAACCUUCGGGAGGACGGUUACCACGGUGUGAUUCAUGACUGGGGUGAAGUCGUAACAAGGUAGCCGUAGGGGAACCUGCGGCUGGAUCACCUCC
This 1526-nucleotide ribosomal RNA is filed under the name Pseudomonas sp. RNAcentral describes it as "bacterial SSU rRNA". It matches the Rfam family "Bacterial small subunit ribosomal RNA". The record is from RNAcentral. Lineage: Bacteria; Pseudomonadati; Pseudomonadota; Gammaproteobacteria; Pseudomonadales; Pseudomonadaceae.